This 2278-nucleotide ribosomal RNA is filed under the name Pseudomonas aeruginosa. RNAcentral describes it as "bacterial LSU rRNA". It matches the Rfam family "Bacterial large subunit ribosomal RNA", at positions 14 to 2330 of the family's 2925-position model. The record is from RNAcentral. Lineage: Bacteria; Pseudomonadati; Pseudomonadota; Gammaproteobacteria; Pseudomonadales; Pseudomonadaceae.
AGCGCAUACGGUGGAUGCCUUGGCAGUCAGAGGCGAUGAAAGACGUGGUAGCCUGCGAAAAGCUUCGGGGAGUCGGCAAACAGACUUUGAUCCGGAGAUCUCUGAAUGGGGGAACCCACCUAGGAUAACCUAGGUAUCUUGUACUGAAUCCAUAGGUGCAAGAGGCGAACCAGGGGAACUGAAACAUCUAAGUACCCUGAGGAAAAGAAAUCAACCGAGAUUCCCUUAGUAGUGGCGAGCGAACGGGGAUUAGCCCUUAAGCUUCAUUGAUUUUAGCGGAACGCUCUGGAAAGUGCGGCCAUAGUGGGUGAUAGCCCCGUACGCGAAAGGAUCUUUGAAGUGAAAUCGAGUAGGACGGAGCACGAGAAACUUUGUCUGAACAUGGGGGGACCAUCCUCCAAGGCUAAAUACUACUGACUGACCGAUAGUGAACCAGUACCGUGAGGGAAAGGCGAAAAGAACCCCGGAGAGGGGAGUGAAAUAGAACCUGAAACCGUAUGCGUACAAGCAGUGGGAGCCUACUUGUUAGGUGACUGCGUACCUUUUGUAUAAUGGGUCAGCGACUUAUAUUCAGUGGCAAGCUUAACCGUAUAGGGUAGGCGUAGCGAAAGCGAGUCUUAAUAGGGCGUUUAGUCGCUGGGUAUAGACCCGAAACCGGGCGAUCUAUCCAUGAGCAGGUUGAAGGUUAGGUAACACUGACUGGAGGACCGAACCCACUCCCGUUGAAAAGGUAGGGGAUGACUUGUGGAUCGGAGUGAAAGGCUAAUCAAGCUCGGAGAUAGCUGGUUCUCCUCGAAAGCUAUUUAGGUAGCGCCUCAUGUAUCACUCUGGGGGGUAGAGCACUGUUUCGGCUAGGGGGUCAUCCCGACUUACCAAACCGAUGCAAACUCCGAAUACCCAGAAGUGCCGAGCAUGGGAGACACACGGCGGGUGCUAACGUCCGUCGUGAAAAGGGAAACAACCCAGACCGCCAGCUAAGGUCCCAAAGUUGUGGUUAAGUGGUAAACGAUGUGGGAAGGCUUAGACAGCUAGGAGGUUGGCUUAGAAGCAGCCACCCUUUAAAGAAAGCGUAAUAGCUCACUAGUCGAGUCGGCCUGCGCGGAAGAUGUAACGGGGCUCAAACCACACACCGAAGCUGCGGGUGUCACGCAAGUGACGCGGUAGAGGAGCGUUCUGUAAGCCUGUGAAGGUGAGUUGAGAAGCUUGCUGGAGGUAUCAGAAGUGCGAAUGCUGACAUGAGUAACGACAAUGGGUGUGAAAAACACCCACGCCGAAAGACCAAGGGUUCCUGCGCAACGUUAAUCGACGCAGGGUUAGUCGGUUCCUAAGGCGAGGCUGAAAAGCGUAGUCGAUGGGAAACAGGUUAAUAUUCCUGUACUUCUGGUUACUGCGAUGGAGGGACGGAGAAGGCUAGGCCAGCUUGGCGUUGGUUGUCCAAGUUUAAGGUGGUAGGCUGAAAUCUUAGGUAAAUCCGGGGUUUCAAGGCCGAGAGCUGAUGACGAGUCGUCUUUUAGAUGACGAAGUGGUUGAUGCCAUGCUUCCAAGAAAAGCUUCUAAGCUUCAGGUAACCAGGAACCGUACCCCAAACCGACACAGGUGGUCGGGUAGAGAAUACCAAGGCGCUUGAGAGAACUCGGGUGAAGGAACUAGGCAAAAUGGCACCGUAACUUCGGGAGAAGGUGCGCCGGCUAGGGUGAAGGAUUUACUCCGUAAGCUCUGGCUGGUCGAAGAUACCAGGCCGCUGCGACUGUUUAUUAAAAACACAGCACUCUGCAAACACGAAAGUGGACGUAUAGGGUGUGACGCCUGCCCGGUGCCGGAAGGUUAAUUGAUGGGGUUAGCGCAAGCGAAGCUCUUGAUCGAAGCCCCGGUAAACGGCGGCCGUAACUAUAACGGUCCUAAGGUAGCGAAAUUCCUUGUCGGGUAAGUUCCGACCUGCACGAAUGGCGUAACGAUGGCGGCGCUGUCUCCACCCGAGACUCAGUGAAAUUGAAAUCGCUGUGAAGAUGCAGUGUAUCCGCGGCUAGACGGAAAGACCCCGUGAACCUUUACUGUAGCUUUGCACUGGACUUUGAGCCUGCUUGUGUAGGAUAGGUGGGAGGCUUUGAAGCGUGGACGCCAGUUCGCGUGGAGCCAUCCUUGAAAUACCACCCUGGCAUGCUUGAGGUUCUAACUCUGGUCCGUAAUCCGGAUCGAGGACAGUGUAUGGUGGGCAGUUUGACUGGGGCGGUCUCCUCCUAAAGAGUAACGGAGGAGUACGAAGGUGCGCUCAGACCGG